This 1375-nucleotide long non-coding RNA is filed under the name Homo sapiens (human). RNAcentral's name for it is "HSALNT0171369". The record is from RNAcentral. Lineage: Eukaryota; Metazoa; Chordata; Mammalia; Primates; Hominidae.
AGAGAAUCACCUCAGAAAGGAAGAGAUGAACAAUAUGAAUGAUGAAGAUGCUGCUAAGUGAGAAGCACCCGUGGGGUGGGAGGAAGGACACGACAUUAUCAAUGUUGAUCAAUGUUGAAGGACAUGACAUUAUCAGUGAAGAUGGUGGUGAGAGAGAGGAAGCAGUGGGAUGGAGACACCACGAGUCACUUGUCGAUUAAUGACUCUAGUGCCUAUGGCCAACCUUGGAAAGGCAUGGCCAAAGCACCUGUGUGAGCCACUGCUACAGAAUCUGGAGGAGCUGACAUAGAGAAGAAACUCAGGUUCCUCCUGAAGGACCCAUCCAUGGAGAGGUCCUCCCAGAUACCCUGGGGCGAGGUGAUGAAGACCUGGGACAAGGCCCUCAGCCACAGGAAGAAGAUGACCAUGAAGAGCUUGGGGAAGCAAAUGCAGAGAAAGGCCUGUGUGUGUGCCAGGUUUGUAUUGUGCCGUCUACAAGUGGCAUAAACACAGGAACCCCUUUCCCUGUUCCUGGCCUGUGGACCUUUCUGUGAGGCAUGGGGUAGCAGGAGAGAACAACAAUGACAACGCCCUUUCAGGCUCCCUCUUCUCAUGAACAGCUCCCUCUACAGCACAGAGAACAGUCUCUCCAGGCCUCUCUGGAAAGCAGCAUUUUAAAUUGCCUCACACCAGCUCCUGUCUAGAGUCCAGCCGAACAACAGAAGGAAAGUUCACCUUUACCAGUAACCCAAGAAUUUCUAACUAGGGAAAAAAUGGUGCCAUUUUUUUCUACUGGAUCACCUCCCGCUCCAGCGAAGAUGAAAAGGCUAGCUAAUUCCAGUGCUGGCAUGGGUGUGAGCAAGCUGACAAUGGGUAGGCUGUUGUUGGGAUUAUAGACCAAUAAAACCUCACUGGAUAAUAGUUUAGCAUUACAGAUUUUUUUAAACCCUUUAACGUAUAUGCUUACAUUUUACCCAUCAAUCCAAAUCUGUCAGCUUAUUCUCAAAAAAUAACCAUACAAGUUGUAAAAUGUAUAUUAAAAGAUAAUGAUCAUGUCUGUUUUAAUAUGAAUAAAUUAAAAGAGCACAUAAAUACAAAAUUAUAUUUAAAACUGGCUAACUUCGUUUUAGUACAUCUAUCUAAUGGGCUGCAUGAAUACAUUAGCAGCGUAUGAAAGGAAUAUUUAUUGAUGUGGAAACAUCUACUUCCUAUAUUACAGCAGGCAGUGUAAGCCUGAUGUCUGCUUUGGUAGCAUCUUAGUGGGGCACAGAUUGUAUGGAAACAGAAAGUUCAUUUUAGCACAACAGCUAUGGGUCAGGAUUUUUUGUGGGCUGUUCUUGAGUAGAGUUAAACAGUUUUUGAGAAGCAAGCCAGAGUGUCUCUGAAGAGAACAGAG